Molecule: ribosomal RNA, 253 nt
Filed under: uncultured bacterium
Lineage: Bacteria
Description: partial 16S ribosomal RNA
Rfam family: Bacterial small subunit ribosomal RNA
Source: RNAcentral
UACAGAGGUCCCAAGCGUUGUUCGGAUUCACUGGGCGUAAAGGGUGCGUAGGCGGUCGGGUAAGUCUGACGUGAAAUCUUCAAGCUCAACUUGGAAACUGUGUCCGAUACUAUUCGGCUAGAGGAAUGGAGGGGAGACUGGAAUACUUGGUGUAGCAGUGAAAUGCGUAGAUAUCAAGUGGAACACCAGUGGCGAAGGCGAGUCUCUGGACAUUUCCUGACGCUGAGGCACGAAAGCCAGGGGAGCAAACGGG